RNAcentral lists this transfer RNA (57 nucleotides) under Capra hircus (goat). It matches the Rfam family "tRNA", at positions 8 to 63 of the family's 71-position model. From Rfam's summary of the family: Transfer RNA (tRNA) molecules are approximately 80 nucleotides in length. Their secondary structure includes four short double-helical elements and three loops (D, anti-codon, and T loops). Lineage: Eukaryota; Metazoa; Chordata; Mammalia; Artiodactyla; Bovidae. The record is from Rfam by way of RNAcentral. RNAcentral also lists the same sequence under 2 other names.
UAGCUUAGCUGGUAAAGAAUCUGCCUGCAAUGCAGGAGACCCUGGUUUGAUUCCUGG